UGAGGGGAAGGCGGGCGGGGUUGGAGGUAGGUGCUACGUCGUUUGUAUAAAUGCGGGUGUGUGGGCGCGUACUCAAAAUCCUUCACGUUUUCCUGAGAGUCGUAGAAUCGUAAAGGUUAGAAAAGACCUCUGAGAUCACCUGGUCCAACUGUAAGCACGUCACCGCCGUGCCCACUAACCCGGCUGUCGCUGCCACAUCUGUGUGGUUCCUGAACGCCUCCACGGACUGCGGCCCCUCCAUGGGCAGCCUGUGCCAUGCCUCACCAGCCUUACUCCCCUUUUUAGAUACUGAAAUGCUAUUCUGUGGUCUCCACGGAGCCCUCUCCAGGCUGAACAGCCCCGGCCCACUCAGCCUGUCCUCAUAGGAGAGGUGUUCCAUCCCUUGGAUCAUUUCUGUGACCCUUCUCUGGACACAUUCCAACUGGUCCACAUCUCUGCUGUCCAGAGGACUCAUAUCUGGAUGCAGUACUCCAGGAGAGGUCUCACCAGUGCAGAGCAGAGGGGCAGGAUCACCUCCCUCACUGCAGACUGCACUUCUUUUGAUGCAGCCCAGGAUACAGUUGGCUUUCUGGGCUAUGAGGGCACAUUGCUGGCUCACGUCCAGCUUUCCAUCCACCAGUAGCCCAGGUUAGGCAGGGUUAUGGCCUGUGUUCAGGAUUUUGUUAAAGCUCGUACAGCUGGCCUCAGCCUCAUUGAUUGAGCCUGUCAAGAUCCCUCUGCAGGGUUUUCCUACCCCCAGGUAGUUCAACACUUCCUCCAAACUUGGUGUCAUCUGCAAGCUUACUUAGAGUGCACUAAAUUUUCUCAUCCAGAUCAUCAAUAAGGCACAGUCCAAGGUCGUCAUUACCACACACUUGUAUGCCAGACUUGUCAGGGCAAAACACUUUGUAGUGUUUAGACUGGGGUCUCAUUAAGAUCAAGGUAAGAGAAAAGCUGUGCAAAGAAGGAGUCAGUGUGUUGGCAUCACUAAUCUCUUACCUGUGGACUGGCUCAGUCCUCAGCUAAGAAAAUUCAUCUUUUCACAGUUGCACUGCUUCUGAAAACAAGCAAGCAAAUAAAUAAAAGCUUAUGCAAUGACAUUAAUAUUUCUCUGUGUUUCAUGCAUUUAACUUUAUGUUACUGUAUCUGUCUUCCACAACAAUGUCACAUUUGUGGCUUUUGCUUAUUUUCUCAUCUGUUAAUGAUAAUUUUGCUUUUCAUUGCCCUGUUUCUAAGAAGUCACACCAUAAGUUGGAGAUAAUCAAGACUUCUUUGAGCACGUAACCUUUUGUGUAGGAAAGUGUCAUCCUGUAUUUAUUCCAGCCCUCUUCAGAUUCAGGUCAUUAUUAUCUUAUGAUGUUGUGGUUUCAAUUUAUACAACUGUGCCAUCUGCCGCUUUCAUUAAUGCAUCACUGUUUCCCAUACCAAGGUCAUUAAUACAGAUGUGAAAUGAGAGAACCAUUCAUCUAGAAUUUCAUUUCUUGCCUUUCAACUGUAAGGACUUUCCUUCUGGGGAAAGAAAUACACCCAAAUCUUCAUGCUGUUGACUGCUUUUAGUGCCCACAUUUAUUUGGUUAAUGCUGAUUUGAGUACACAUGUACCAUAUAUCAGUACUUAUGACCCGAUAAAGAGUCAGUUCAGGAAAGUGAUUAGGAAAAUGAGUGAAUGAAUGAGUGAAUGAAUGAAUGAAUGAAUAAAUAAAAUUUAGGCAAAUUUCAUCUGGUUUUCUUUCUGAAUCAGCACAAAGAAGGAUGUGAGGAAGCACACCUGGUUAGUAGUGUUAUUGUGUUCCACCUUAAGCCAGGUUUAGAUGCUAUGGAGGUGUAUCCUCUGCAGGAGUGCUUGUAGGUAAUUUCAGAGUCAGUGUCUUUAAAAGUAGUAUUAGAAAUCCAAAUGCUUUUAUAAAAACAAGACCUCUUUGGUGCUGGAAAUUUGUAAUUGUAUGGUGGAAAUUUGUACUCUGCUACCUAAACCUUAUUAGAAAGAUAUCAGGGUUGUUUGUUUUUUUUUUGUUUUUUUUUUUUUCCUGAGAAUUUACAAUGAAUAAAGAAAGAACUAUGUAUAUGACUUUUUCAGCUAGGAGAAUUAAUGAACCUUGAUGUCCUACCUGAAACUAGCCAAGGAUGGGUUGCAGGUGGCCAUUUCAGUAAUGGGCUUAUACACAAGAACAUUCCCCUCAACUCAAGAAAAAGAAAUCCAUUCCCAAGGAAGUCCUCCCUCCUUUACUACGUGACUGAAACAAGAAAAGAAGCUGGAAUUUUUUGUUCAGUUUAUUUUCCCUACAGUACUGAUUUAGUGUGUGCCUAUAGCCAUGUAUUUUGUGAUUGCAAUGAGGUAUAGCUUUUGUUUUUGCAGCUGUGUAGACUGCAACAAUUUGAAUAAUUAAAACCAUUGGGGUUUUGACAAUGUGCGAUCACAUUACUGUGAUAGAAUGCAUUUCAGACAGGAAAAUGUGAAAAAAGCCCCCCAAAAUGACAAAAUAUAUGUCCCUCUGAAUACUAAGAUGAGGCUGAGGUGAAUUAAAAUGUCUUUAUAUGGCACUUUAGAUAAAUCCUUCUAGUUGAUAACAGCAUUGCAAGAGAGAUAAGUAGUGCAGUGCAGAGGAACUGUUCAUCUCACAUGCCUGCAAGGGGCAGAUAGUCACCUGGCUGGGCCUCUGUUAGUGGUGUGAAAGUGGCACUGAGGAGAACAGUAGAAAGGAAUUGGAAUUUAAAUGAACAGAAAUUUACCUUACCAGGAUCUGUUGACCAAUAUUUAACUGCCGGAGCAAGAUAGUGUUUCUUGUCCUAUCAGAGGGUAAAAUUAUCACAGAAGGGGCAACUAUUGAAAUGUACAGAGCAUGUAAAAUUAUAAGGAAGUGGAGAGAGGUGUCCAUUUCUCAAGAAGUUACAUCCUAUACCAGGAUUGUUUAUUAUAUACUUGUAGUCUGAAUCCAACUUCCUUAUGAACAUUUUUUGAGUUGCCAUAAUUAAUUACCAUGAUUAUUUUACUAAUUAUUUUACUUAUUUAUAUAUUUCUGAAAAAAAAAAACUCUUUGAUAGUAUUUGCUACUUACUUUCAGUGGAGUUGAGGACACUGUAGAAUAAAUAUGCCAGAAAACCUUUUUUUGAAGAAAUGGUAUUUAGCUUCCUUUUCCCUUCUGCUUCCCAUUUUGUCUUAUUACAGUCCCUGUUGGCUACAAUAUAUUGGUGAGUAUUCAUUUAGAGCAGCCUUGAGGCACAGAACUUGGGUUCAUAAUUUCCUGCUCAUCUUGCAAACAAAUAAAUGUGGCCACAGCUCAGAGUUUGACCAUAAAAAUUAAGCUGCCUUGUUUGUGUUUUUGGAAAGACAUCUCCCUUUUUUUCUGCUGUGUCUUAAAAUCUUUUAUCUUUCAUGUGUAUUUGUAAGAUUUAUGAGGUGCACCUGCCAUGUGAAGAACAUCAGUUUCUGUGCUACAAAACAAGUGUCUGUGAAUAGGAAGAUUACCACUAAAACUACUAUUGUAAGGACUCUAUGGAAGUAUCAAAUCUGAAGUUUUAAAAAGUGUAAUAAAACCUCUCACAUGCAAAAUAUGCUUUUCGCUUUGUCAGUCCCUGACUGGGUAAGGCACUUAGUGUUUCCAAGAAUCUUUGCUUAAAAAGCAGCGGAUUAAGCCUUUAAGUAGGUACACAGACAAUUAAAUCUUGGCACUCAGAAAAAUUUCCUUCCAUGCCCCAAUCUUUUUCUCCCCACUUCUACCUCAGUCUCUGUUCUUGGCCUCCUGCCUGCCUGGUGCUCUUUGCUCAUGCUUUGUUGCUUGCUGGAGCCUCCUGUGAAGCAAUGCAAAGCAGCAGAAGUCAUAGUUGUGUCCCUGUGGGCUCAGAACAUUGAAUCAUCUCAGACAGAGAUCUGAGUUGACACAGCAGAGGAGGAAGAGAGAUCUAUUGUUGUCUUUUGUCACAGGGAAGCUUGGGAUAACAAUUCCCCUUGAUAACUGUUUCCUAUAACCAGAGCGCUGGGCUGGGAUCCCGCUCUGCUUCCCAGUGUUCUGCCCUUCCCAGUACGUUGAUACACAUCCUCAGCUGUGUGUUCCUAUGCUGCCAGGGAAACCAGCUUUCUUUCUCAGGUAGAUUCUGGUUACAGUAUGAGUUAGCAUGCUUACAAAAAUCUGAACCAGCAGAGGUGACUCUCUGACAUUGCUGCCACUUCUGAAAUGCACCACCUGCUGCCAACUGUGCUUACAUCCCCUCUUUGGUCUCCAUGAAAUUCGGCACGAUUCAAUUAAUGUCAGUGGGUGCAAUUUUUUAUUUUAUUUUAUUUAUUUAUUUAUUUUUGCAUGGAGGAAUUCAGUGCCACACCUUUUCUUCAUGCGCACUUCCAUGUCAAAUGCCAUUUUGUCAGAUCACCCCUCUGCUGCCAUCUGUCAGACAACAACAAAAUGUGAUGUAGUAUUGCUGGAAAGGCUGAACCUCUACUGCCAUACCACCAACAUUCAUCUCUGAUGACCUUGGCCAACAUAAUGAAAUAGAGGCAUCAUUUCUGGAGAAGCCUUCAUGUAAAUGUGCUAUGUCUUAUUUUCCAGAAUUUAUUUGAAAUUGCUUCGACUUCGAAAAAUUUCUCAACCAAGUAAUUUUUUAGGCUUCUUGUCUUAAAAACAAUUUAAUUCAUGCAUCUUUUGUUAUGAUGAGAAUAGCUUUUUUGUUUUUUUUUUAAGCAAUAUCAAUGCUUAUGUGAAAUUUGUAUACUUUGUGUUAUUAUAUGCAAAGAACAUUUUUAAAGUAUUUUCCAUACGAUUUGCAUGCAUCAUAAUGCUUUUAAAUGGAAAGUUAUAAACAAAAUUAUUUCUUUUAAUUGGAGGAGGUGUAACAAUCUAAUUCAUCGGAUCUGGAGGGCUCCUGGCUAUCCAGUGAGAGACAGAUUUUGGGAGAAAAUAAAUUUAAAGACAGAGUGUCCAAUUCUAUAGUUUUAAACUUUUUCUGCAUUUAUGAACUAUGGUACCUUUUUGCUUUCAUAGGCAGUAAACACAGGUAGCUUUGAGUUUUAUAGAAUAUUUUAUUAACCAUGCUUUGUUGCAUUGUGAAAGGGAUGUUUUGUUUUGUUUUUUUAUCAGCCUGUCACCAGUUAAGGAGAAAUACCUGCUGCAAGCAGUAAAUUCUGGCUCUGAGCAUGCUGCUCUAAGAUGACCCAUUAUUUAUUUUCAUCUAAUUAUGCAGAUUCUUCUUUUCCUUGCUUUCACCAUUAGAGUGUGCAUUUUUAUAGCCUAUUUAUACUAUCAUUAUAUACUGCAGUGGGUUAGCUUGCUACUGGAGAUAAAAUCACCUUGUUUAUACAAUGAUUCAGAAAAUGGGAAAAUAUAUGCUGAUGUAUUGCAAGCUCCUGUAAUGAAAAAUACAAAGGCUUAAAUUUGAACAAUUGUUGUAUCCUUUUCUUCUAGAGAAGGUUAAUACAAUUCUGACAGAGGUGCUUUUCUGAUACCAGUGAGGGUAGUUCUGGUGUGUUCUGUUUCACAUCUUAAGAAGAUUGUGUUGUAUGUGCAGAAGGAAACUGUAAGUCCAUCAAAAUUCGUGCUUUGUGUGCAGCCAUCACAAAAACAAACAAACAUCAAGAGUCCUGAUUCAGCUACUACUGCAGUGUAAUUGGUCAUAAAACAACUAGCCUAUUAGAUUUAUUUUAUUUUGGUUUUAAACUAGGGGUACAUGUUUUUAUGCUAAAUAGAUUGGAUUAUUCUAGUGAUUUCACAGAUAGCAUUUAACUAAAAAAGUGAACAGAUUCUUGCUUAAGAAAGAAGAGAUAAAGCAAGGAAUAAAGCCAAGCUACAUUUCCAUUUUUGAAUGUAAGGGCUGGCAAGGAGAAGGACACUAUUUAAGAGGAAAUUAAUUUCAGGCCUGGGAAGUUGUGAUUCCGACAGGCUUAGUACUAGAUGUCAACUGUGAUAUCCCUCACAGUUCUCUAAACAAGGUCAUCUUGUGUAUAUUUUCUUUAUUCAGUCAUUUAUUAUGUUGAUAGUUCUCGUAUUUUUCCUUCUCUACUUUUUGUUCUCUUUGAUGGCAAGCCCAGAAAAGAGUUUAUAUAGCCUGCAGAUAUUCCUGUGAGAGGACAGCAUACACUGGCAUGGAAGAGAGGUUACGCAGAUCACUAGUUCACUGUUUGAAGGGAUUAGAAGAGGAAUUCACCACGAUGGGAGAAGGUGCUGCAUCUCUGUGGGAAUGAAGGAGAAGUGAAAACCCACAUUGUGUUUGUGGAGUCUGGGCUUUUAAAUUGCUGAAGCUUUCUUUAGCAAAAAGAUAAACAUGGCCUUUAAUUUUCUUCAUUUAGAACAGGCCUUUCUAACCUGCUCUGGUUCAGGACACCAGACUUCAAAUAGUCAUUGUUUAUCAGGCUUUGGCUUCUAAUGUCUUUGGGUAGCACGCCAAGAAUUUCUCUGCGUGUAGCAUAGCUUUCCUGUGGUCUUCUUAAUGGAUCAGAGAUUUAGCAGGAGUGUUCUGACCUGGGAAAUAUGCCUCCUCAUUCAGUGCUUAUUUUAGCACAAUGCUGAAGAUUUGUCUGAAUAUUUAAGAUGCUUUUGUGUUGGAUGUAGUGAGAAUCUUCUUGUUUCUGGACCAUUACCCGUGGAGCAAAAUUAAUUCUAGUAAGUACAAAAUUAUAUUGGCACAAUGAAUUUUUAAGCUUUAAAGUGUAAUGCUGUUAGAAGUAAUUAAAAAACAAUCAGAGAACAGAAAAUGACCCUUUAAUAGCAGAUGAAGUCUUGACCUUUAUUGUGCCAGGCAAGUUUCUCAGUAAUGUGUGAUUCCUACUUUGUUCACUUUCAAUGCAGUCUUUUACAUAGCUUAUGAGCUUGUUAAGAUUUUGUUGAGGCAUUUUUAAAACAUUACUGUUUAGCAAGACAUCAGAAAAUUUGUGAAUACUUUAAGGCCAAUUUUAAUUACAGAUCCAGAACUACGAGCAGAAAGGACAGGGCUCAGCUGAUCACAACUUGGUGCCAACUUUGUGCCUAUCCUUAAACUACUUCUUUUAGACUCUCCUCAUAUUCAAAACAAAGAAGUACUUCUAGUAAACUCCAAUCAGCCUGGAAUAGAUAUCUGAAAAGAUGAGCUGUUCCCUGAAGGUGCCUAUUUCUUUCAAGUUGACUACAGGGAGAGACAAGUUCACUGACAUCUUUUUUUAUAAAAGCACAGUUUGAGAGGUGAAUCCCACCCUGUAGUCAUGUUCCUAUGCUAUUCUUAAAGCUCAUAUUUGAGAGUCCCUAAUCCACUGUUCCUCUGAUAUAAAUGUAGGCCAGCUAAUGUUGAACUCAAGUCAAUUUUCUAUGGUUCUCUCUUUAGAAAAUUAGGAGACACAGGUGACUUUGCAUUAUAACCCACCUGAUGUGCAAAUUACUCUUUCAAGUCACUGUGAUUUUUGUAAAUCCAAAGAUGAAUUAUUCCUAGGACAUUCUCUUAAUACAGUAUUUUUGAAGUCAAAAUAAUACACAGCAUAACAGUUGAUACCAAUCUUUAAUCCUUUUGUUUUUCCCUCAACUAACAAUCAUGCUAUACAAGAAUGUGAAAUCAAAUGAAGAUGAAUAAGAAGACAAAAGUGGAAAUAAGUUUUCAAAGUUAAAUAUAGUAAUGGUUACCAUUCCUAUGCAAGAACAAACUAAGAAUAACACUUUGCAUUUCAGAACCAACAUCAUUUGAGGCCACUAUAGUGUCUUCAUGGAAGAGCACAUCUUCCAUCUAUUAAAAAAAAGUGCAUAAUUAAAAUCUUAAUGUUUUGCUGCUAUGAAAAGGGAAAUAAACUGAAACUAUUGUUGCAUUAAAACAUUGAUUCAGUUUUGUGUGCUGCCUUCUAUCCAGCAGUCCAUAUCACAUGCACUGAGAUGAUUUGUCUCACCCUGUGGAGUCAGGUUGGGCUAUGAUACCUCUAACUUCAACAGAUAAUUCUCUUUUUCUGAAAUCUCCAUAUAAGCAUUUCCCUUCAGCAGUUGCUUUGGGAACACUCCCGAAGAGAAAUCAGGAUACAGAUUAUGCAAAACAAUGCAGUAAAUGCUAGCAUAAGGCUGAAUAAAAUAAAUUAAAUGGAAAAAAAAAAAAAGAAGACAAAAGAAAAAAUGAAUAAAUUCAUUGGAAAGAAGAUUUCAGUACACUGAUUCAAAAGAAAUGAGCUAUAUAAUCAAGUCAUGAUAGGAAAAAGAAACUGAAGGAAGUUGAAAAAGAAUAGAAAAAAGUCAUGCAUGUCACAUGUGUGCUUUUGAAGCAAAGGAACUGGAAUGGUAAACCACAAGAAUAAUUAAUGAAGUAACCAGAUAAUUAAAAUCAUUUACAGUUGGAGGAGGAGAUGGGAAGUAUGUGAUAACACCAAGGAUAUUGGUAACUUGCAAGGUCUACCCAAGGCUGAUUUUUUUUGUAAUUACAGCCUGGCCAAACAAACAAACAAACAAAAAAAACCCCACCAUCUUCUGGCAUCACUCAUGUGGUUUGUUUGUUUGUUUUUCCCCUUCCACUUCAACAUGGAAUUGAAGGGUAUUUUUUAUAUUUUAUAGUUUCACCACUAAGUACGUUUUCUCACUGCUUUCUAAUUUCUCUUACUGAUCCCUAUAUGCUGUCACUUUGUAUAUUUUUUCCUCUAGUAUUUCUCAAUUGUGUUGUUUGCAUUUCACAAAUUACCUGUUCUUUCCCAGGUCUCACCUUCCAUUUGUUCUUCCUUGAUGUAUAUAAGCCAAGAGCUACCUGCUGCAAGAUUCUUUUGUAGCCUUACAUUGAUAAUCUAUUAAAUUAAAAUAUUUCAAGUGUUUUCUGUUACAGAAAAUACGCUCUUGGGUCUGGUAUGUGUUCCCAUGCACAGGAAUAAGUGAUGCAAUUUCAGUCAAUGUAUCCCAAAUUAAUCACUUGUAUGGAAGAACAAAUGUAACUGUUGCAUAAAAGGAAGAUUGGUGUCUGUUAUUCGUAAAAUACAACAUUAAAUAUAUUGUAAAAACAGAGGAUUUGCCAACAGAGGAGACCUCAUUUAAAAUGCAAGAACACCAGAUGGAAAAUACAUUACAUAAUAAAAUAUGUAUUAGCCAGUUUUCUUAUUUUUGUGUGGUUCAAAAUGGAGCAUGUUUCUUUUUUGGAAACUUAGAAAUUGAGCUGGUAAUACAACAUUUACUAUGACAGAAUGACCAAGCUUAAUACACAAGUUGUAGCGAAGAAGGAUAACAGGUAAAGACUUCUCCUCAGCCCAAAUAAUACAUUAAUUAAUUAAUAAUAAUAAAGUGAUUAAACUGAUUUUUUAGAGUUGAUUAUUCUACCAGAUCUGUAACAUAGCCUGAAAGCCCAUCAUCUUCAAUAAACACGUUGUGGGAAAGCACCUGUACAGAAGCUGUUUUUGUCUGUAUUAGGAAAUAAUUCUACUCGAAGGUCCUAUAACAUGUAAUUCUUAGGUUAUGGGACAGACAAAAUGAGAAAGCCUUCUGAGGAAAGCUAUGUUUCCAACAUAGCAGAUUAUUCUUUCAGGGAUUCAGGAAAGGCUUUUUUCUAAAAAAAAAUAUUUUUAGUUUUAGUUACAAAUGCUCAUCUUGAAAGAGAGAAUGUCAGAGAAGUAUUAGCUUAAUUUUUUGAGCAGAAUUUGCAGGUAGUAAGUAAAGCCUACACUGUAUUCUAUAGACUAAAAUUAGCCAAAAAAAAAAAAAAAAAAUU
Lagopus muta (rock ptarmigan) is the source of this 9593-nucleotide long non-coding RNA. RefSeq lists it as uncharacterized. The transcript is spliced from 2 exons. NCBI's taxonomy places the organism in Eukaryota, Metazoa, Chordata, Aves, Galliformes, Phasianidae. The record is from RefSeq and is a predicted model, not a curated record.